Molecule: long non-coding RNA, 7391 nt
Filed under: Lactuca sativa (garden lettuce)
Lineage: Eukaryota; Viridiplantae; Streptophyta; Magnoliopsida; Asterales; Asteraceae
Description: long non-coding RNA (LSAT_LNC009436)
Source: RNAcentral
UAAAUCAUUCAUUCUUAUAUAUGUGGGCUUAUGAUCCAUAGUUCUUCAUGUUGGGCUAAACCCAUGGAUACUCCAUGGAGGUUUUAACCCAUUGUGCUUGAAGAAUAUGGAAAGAUAUGAGUUACAUGGUGUAACCCUAAUAGCCACACAAUAUAUAAGGACCCCAUGACUCAAGAAAUUGGCACUAGUGUGUGUAUACAUGAGGGCUAGCCGAUUUGAGCAUAGGAACCUUUUCUCUCAAGUUAUUCCAAGAUGUUGGUGAUGUUGUGUCAACCAUUUGAGGUCACACUUGAGGCAGUAUGCUCUUAAGCUCCAUGGAAUCAAGCUAAAACAAAGAGGUGUGUAAUUCUACUAGAAUUUAUAUUAUAUGUACUUCAUAUUAACGUUGUUAUAACAAUACCUUGUAAGAUUGAUAUUUGCAUGUAUAAUAGAGAAAACAUAGAUCCAAGUUAUUUGGGGUUGCAUGUACACCUUAGGAGUGUUAGAAUGCCCAAAACCCUUCGGUGGUUUUAGAUCCUAGGCUUGUUUUUAAUUAUACUUGAUGCAAAUUGCUAAAAAAAUGCUGAAAAAUUCGAUUUUCUGCUGUUCUGGACAGUGGACUCGCCGAGUCCAUUCAUAAAAUCAUCCAACUCGUCGAUUUGGUUCAUGCACUCGACGAGUUGGACCCCCAAACAACAUAUUUUCGAGGUUUUUGGCUGGAAUUGGACUAGGAACAUUACCCUAAGCUAUUUUUGAACUUGUAAACCUGUUUUUGAUGUGGUAAUGUUAAUGCUAAUCCAAUUUCAUAGAUAAUUGUCAGUAGAUUCAUGUUUUGUAUUAGUUUAAUGGUUAGGCUAAUUACAUGAAAAAUGUUUGAUUUGAAUUAUCUUGUUCUUAUGAGUUGAUUUAGAUAAAGAGAAAAGUUAUGUGAUAAUAUGUUUUCAAUCCAAAUUAAUCUAAAAGUUGUUCAUAAUAUGAGUUUUUGUAACUUGUCCUCAAGUUAUAUGAAAAGUCACAUUUAUGAUUAUUAAAACUCAUAAGAUUUCCAUAAGUUAUGAAAAUGGGGAGUCUCAUUUUUAAAUGUUUUAAAGUCGUCCAUAACUUGUCCUCAAGUUAUGGAACUUGAAGAGUUUUUUAAUUAAAACUACUUUAAACACAUAAGUUAUGAAAUUGAAAAGUUUUUGAAUAGUUCAAAACUUUCCCUCAAGUUUUAGAAUUUGUAAAGUUUCCCCUCAUGAAUACUUUAAUUCCAAGUUAAGCCCUUAGAAUUUUAAAUGUUAAAAUUCAACCCUUAUACUUUAUAGUAUUAUAAGUUAAUAAUAUACAUGUAUAAGNUAAUCUUACCAUUAGUAGACCUCAUUCACGAAGCCGAUCUAUAAGGGGGGUAUAAGGUUACUACCUAUAAAAUGGCAUUUUAAUGGAUGUCCACUCUCACCCACCGCUUCCUUGACUGGUGGAGGGUCGUUAGCCGAACGGGUAGGACAAGGACUAGAAUUCUCCCUUCAUUAAAAGUAUUAAUGAUAAAUAUAAAGUAACUAAACCUUUUAUAAAUUCCCAAUCUUAGUUACUUUAGGAAAAUGUGAAUUUGGUGCUAACCCAUGAAAUUACACUUUGCACUUUGCUUAAGUCGGUUAAUGGAGCGCGUGUGGUUAACCAGCACACUAGCUUGAUUUAACAUGGUAGGAAAAGGGUAACUUAAUGUUUAUCAUAGUAUCGGUGGAGCGUGUGUGGUUAACCGACACAUCGAUUGAGGGGUAAAUAUUAAGGGUACCGAGUAUAUUUGCAUGGUUAUUUACACCUUGAUUUGUGAUCCUCGGCAUCCCAGUCACAAAACUUGAGAUGGCACAAUCAAGAUUGAAACAUGCCAUUGAAAAGUUCAAUGAAUCUCAAAAGAUCUAGGAGUUUCAAAUCCAAUCAAAACCUAAUAAAUUAUUUCGUUUUUCAUGGUGGAAAUUGGUGAAUCGUCAUUCGCCUACCUUCAAAUAUUCUAUAGCUUGGAUUACGGCAUCCCUCUUCCAAGUUAUAAAAUAUUGCGUUGGGUCAUAGCCUUAAUAUUUCAUAUUGGGUGUUAUAUUAAGGACUUUAAAUCAAUUAUCAUGAAUAUCUCCCAAAAGAUGUUUGGUUCAGACAAUUAUGAUAUUCCCAAAACAAAACUCUUGGAACAAGCUUUCCUAAUGAAGAUGAUGUCCCAAAAAUCAUUCUUCACUCCCUCCAUCUCCUCCAAUUAUUCUCCCUAACCCACAAGUUCUUGAAUAGUUCAAGGUCACUCAUGCCCUAUUGUCAAGCAAAGUCUAUAUGUGCUCACAUCUUGGAGAUAAAGUCACAUAUUAACAAGCCGGGAGAGUUGGGUGUCAAAGUCUUGAGAAAGAUGGUUGUUCAAUCACUUUAUAAGUCACAUAGUGAGUUUCCUUUGGGACUAGUAUGAAAUAGACUAUGACAUGACCCUUAAUGAUCUUAUCUAUUUGCUUAGUGAUGCUGAAUCAACAAUGAUUUGGAGGACUGGUAGAGCAAAUUUGAUUAAGAUGAUCAACUUCCCAGACUUCUAUGGACAUUGACAAUGGUAACAUUGAAUAUCCAGAAAAGCUUUCUCCUCCCAAUGGAAAGGGAUCGGCCAUAGUGAACUCAGUUGACCAAAUGGUAAAAAGAAUGGCUAGGUCUGAUAUAGUCCCAUGCACCAUACAAAAGAGUCCAUAUGUUUCUAUUGCCAAAGGAAGGGGCAUUGGUUGCGAAUCUGCCCUAACUACCCGAAUGAUCUAAGAGAAGGUCUAGUUAAAAAGCUUGACUCUGCUUCAGGUAAGUCCACUAUCUAACUCAAUUAAGUUCCCAUUUGGAGAUUCUUAAUACAUUUUGAUUUAUGGCAGGAUUAAGCAAGGGGAAGGAAACUUAAAGAAAGAGUAUGUUGAAUCUAAUCGCGAAGAUGGAUUUCAAUCGCAUGGUUCGAAGAUCGGAUUCUUGUGCUACUACUUAGGAGUUAUGAUAGAUUGCUAGAAAAUAUGUAAUAGCAUAGUUUUCAUUUAAAGUUGCAGUGUAAGGAAAAAGUUUUUCCGCAUGUUAUAAAUAAAUAAAAUUUUGUUUUAUUUUAUUAUAUUUCCUUGGAAUGGCACUUAUGAAAAAUUGAUGUUUGUAUGUUUUUAGCAAUAAUGGAAAUAUGAAUUUGAUAGUAUGAUGAAUGAGAACUUUCAUCUUUGGAAAAUUAAGACCAAUUCCUUAUUCACAUGUAUAUGUGAGUCAAGUGAAGGACAAAGGGAUCAGGUACACUUGGUUGUGCACUGGUCAGGUCCACCACAAAGAUCGAUAAGACUAUUCGUCAUGAUUUACUAAAGUUUAGUAAAUAUGGUUAUACUUACAAGUUUAAGUAUAAUUCUAAAACAUUGGAAUAGUAACGAUGUAUUGCAGGACAAAUGAGAAGAAUCAAAUUAGGCAGACAGAUAAAAGUUUCUCAAAUCUAAAAAGAUGGGAGAGUACUUUAGUAUCAUGUUUUGUGAUCAUCUUAAUGAUUAAGAAACCAUUUCAUAAUUGGUCCUCUAAGGACAUCUUAGUGCAUUCCUAUGGCUAAGAAGAGGAAUCAAAAAUUGUUAAAAUGGUUAAAUCAAGAAGAUGAGUCAUACUUCGUUCCAAACAAUUCUUAGAGUCAUACUCCAAGAUUGUAACUUGAGUGACAUAUCUUAAAGAAAGGUUUAUUAAAAAUAUUCAAAUGUAAGAGUAAAGUGUGUCCUACUCUUGUGCAUUUGAAAUUGGUAAGUUGUGAUGUUUUGGAUAAAACAAAGACCAACUAAGGCCGAUUGUGUGAAGUGUUUAUCUUGAUAAAGAAUCUGCACUAUCUCUUGAAUAUUUGGCAAGUGAGUCCUAUAUGUCAAGAGGACAGUGGGAGUCUUAAAGAUCUUGAAAAAGCUUCAAGGUCUAAUCAAGAAUAAAAACAUGUUGUCUAUCACUAGUGCACGACGUGAGGUUUAUAACCUAUCGUGUUGACAUAUUCCUAUUUUUGUGCCCCUUCCAGCUAAAGUUGGCUUUUCAUAUGAGUAAUGAGAGUUCUCAAUUGGUUGCAUAACAACUUGGAAGCAAUGGCAGGCCCUUGUGCUGCCAGGUGGCAAGAAGUUAAGACUGCACAAGUUCAAUCCAUAUGAGUUUGGAUUUAUCACUAACCUUGUAUUGUGAUUAUGGUUUUGACAAAUUCACAUAGAUAGGAACACUUACACCAUAAAAUCUAAGUGUCAUAAAGUUUCUCUCCGAUUCAUGAAAAUGACGAUGAGGAAACGCUUUCACUAAGUAGAUUUUAGGUAGAUAGCAAGUGUGAUAUUUGCAUUCUCAAUGUCGUUAGUGGAGCGUGUGUGGUUAACCGACACGCUAACAUGGACUUGUGGGGAAUAAAAAAGGUAUAAACAAUUGCGACUAUAAUUACAACAUCCCUUUUCAUAGUUCUGAAAUUGUUCAGACACACAUGUGUGCUAUCUAAGGAAACGUGUAUGAUUUUGACAAAGUUUUUUUUUAUCAAAGCAUCUCGUAUCAAAAAUUUGAACUUUAGUAAGAAAGUCAAUAAAGUAUUGGUUUCUAUAACUCUAGCUGAUAUCUGAGUACAUGUCAAAGCUAGUAGGAGUAUAAGUGUUAUGCUGAUAAUUCUCAUGUUAGUGGGAGCAUGAUAAUUAUGAUAAGUGUUGCAAGUUAGCAAUGUUAAUUAUAGAAGACAAAAGUUUCCAUUGGGAAAAAGUUGUUUUGUUAUAAUUAAGGGAGAGGAAAUUAUACUUCAUUUCAAUCCUAAAAGCUUAGAUUGAGGUUUUAAUCAUCUUUAGUCAAGGGUAUAUAUAUGAAUUUUAUGUUGGAAUGGCUCAACAUAAGGAAAUUCUAUAUAUGGGACCAUUAUUUGCAUUCUAAAAUUCGAUUAUGAUUACGGCAUCCCGUUUCAUAAUCUAAAUUUUGAGAACAUGACAAAUAAAAAUAGAAAUAUUAUGCAAAAGAAUGGUAUAGUCUUUAUGCGAGACAUUAUGAAUCGUGUCCCAUAUGCUUCAGAUAUAGGAUCGAUUGCAUGUGCUUUAAUAUUCAUUUGUUCUAAAUUUUUCCAAAUGCCUAGAGCAUUAAGAGGGAAAAAGUACUAGAACUAGAUAUGACUAAUUUGAUUAAGCAAUUGUUGAGGACAAUCUAAGGUUUACCAAAUAUUGGUUGCUCAGGGACAGUUGGAAGUAUAGUGUUAAUUUCGGAAGGACCAUAUUAACAUAUUCUGAAAAGAAGCAACUCUUGUUCAGGAGUGAUAGUCAAAAUGAGAAUAUGGAAAUGUUCCCAUAGGUGGAAGUUAUUCAUUAAAUCUGUGUAAGAUUAGGAAACUUAAUGCAAGAAGGAUGUUCAAAGCAAUGUACAUUGAAUUUGAGACUUCGUGUCCAUGGAAUGAUCUCCAUUGGAAUACUCUGUAAUGUCUGUUGACAAGUCUUUGUGGCUUUGUGCAUAAUCAUUACAAGAAGAUCAAAACAUAUAAGUUUAGAAUCUAACAGAUUUAGGUAAAUGGCCAGAAUUUGGAAUUCUUUCAUUUGCGGUAAGGAUUUGGGAUUAUGAAAUGAGAAUCAUUGGAAUUGUGUUCAAUCGAUCUAUUUCACAAAGUAAAGAUCAUAGACAAACCUACUGUGCAUACUUGGUAUAUGGCAUAACUAAUGUUUGGAAAAAUAUAGUGUGCAUAUUUGGUGUAUGGCAUGACUAGUGUUUAGAAAACAUAAUGUACAUGCUUGGAGCAUGGGGCAACUAUUGUUUUAAUUCAAGUAUAAAGCUGAUAGUUUGAAACAGUAUGCAAUGAAUGAUGUGUAAUCAAUAUGGUGAUAAAUAAAAGGUGUUUUAUUUAUAUUCAUAAGUUCUAAGACCAUAUUGGAUUCGAUUAUUCUUGUGUUUCACUUUACAUGUUUUGACUUCCAGAACAAUUAGGUCAUUCUUCCCGAUUGCCUAAUUUAUUCAAACCAUCCACAGUCGGUCAUAUGUUGGAAGUAGAUAUGAAUCAAGACUGUCAUGAAGCUGGAUUGAAGAUGUCCAAGGUAUGGGACAUAGCAAGAGUUGCUGCAACAUUCAUGAGUGCUCAUAAGUUUUGAGUAUUGGAUUAAACCCAUGCUCAUUUGACUUACUUCAUGGAUUUUAUCACGAGUGAUCAUGAGACGAUAAUAUCUUAUAUUCUUUAAACCUAGAGAUAUGAGUUGUUGCCUAUGAGUUGGUUAUACAUUGAUUGUAUGAAAACGCAUUGGUAACUCGAUGUUAUAAAACAUGCCUUUGUGUAUGAUUCAACAAGUAGUAGAACAAGUAUAUGAGUCGAAUUUUAUCCAUUAUUUUUAACCUUGAAAGGAUAAAGAUAUAUAUGUAGGCCCCUCGAUGAUUUAGUGAUGACACCCCGAAGUGCUUAGCCAAGCCAGGACUAAUUUGAUUUGUUCAAUUAGUCAGUCGUCAUAAAUCGGAAAUCGAGAAACAACAAAUGGACAGAGAGAAUGAUUAUAAUCCAUGUCUCAGUCCAUAUGAUAUCUAGAAUGGAUGAAUAUAUGAUCCCUUAUCUAAUGGACACGUCAUUGAUUUGUUCAGAGUUCGAAAACAACUUUUAAGAGCUACGAUUGCUAGUCGGGUUUUGAAGUCAUACGCAAUAAUAGUUUUAGACUUAUCUAAGUGAGAGACUGUUGGAUUAGUGUCUAAUCCAUAACUAUAAUUGGUAUGUACUUGACCCGAUUGGCAUGGUCCAUUUGGGUUGCAUGGCAUUGGAACAAUUUGGAUAGACUUUUGUGAGAAAAUGGUAUUUAUGAUUUGUUAAUAUAUUAUAAGUUCUAAUAUAUUAAUAUGAAAUCAUAUUAUUUAAUUAUUAUUGAUCAAUAAUUAAUUUGGAAUUAAAUUCNGAUAGACUUUUGUGAGAAAAGGAUAUUUAUGAUUUGUUAAUAUAUUAUAAGUUCUAAUAUAUUAAUAUGAAAUCAUAUAAUUUAAUUAGUAUUGAUCAAGAAUUAAUUCGGAAUUAAUUUUUUGAUCACAAGGAGACUAAUUAAAUAUAUGGGGAUUGAUUGUGUGAAUCAUUCAUUCUUAUAUAUCUGGGCUUAUGAUCCAUAGUUCUUCAUGUUGGGCUAAGCCCAUGGAGUAACCCAUGGAUAUUGCAUGGAGGUUUUAACCCAUGGAGCAUGAAGAAUAUGGAAAGACACAAGUUACAUGGUGUAACCCUAAUAGCCACAAUAUAUAAGGACCCCAUGACUCAAGAAAUUGGUACUAGUGUGUGUAUACAUGAGGGCUAGCCGAUUUAAGCAUAGGAACCUUUUCUCUCAAGUUAUUCCAAGAUGUUGGUGAUGUUGUGUGAACCAUUUGAGGUGUCACACUUGAGGCACUAUGCUCUUAAGCUCCAUGGAAUCAAGCUAAAACAAAUAGGUACGUAAUUCUACUAGAAUUUAUAUUAUAUGUACUUCAUAUUAUGCUAGUUA